RNAcentral lists this ribosomal RNA (497 nucleotides) under uncultured bacterium. RNAcentral's name for it is "partial 16S ribosomal RNA". It matches the Rfam family "Bacterial small subunit ribosomal RNA", at positions 28 to 507 of the family's 1533-position model. The record is from RNAcentral.
GAUGAACGCUGGCGGCGUGCCUAAUACAUGCAAGUCGAGCGAACAGAUGAGGAGCUUGCUCCUCUGACGUUAGCGGCGGACGGGUGAGUAACACGUGGAUAACCUACCUAUAAGACUGGGAUAACUUCGGGAAACCGGAGCUAAUACCGGAUAAUAUAUUGAACCGCAUGGUUCAAUAGUGAAAGACGGUUUUGCUGUCACUUAUAGAUGGAUCCGCGCCGCAUUAGCUAGUUGAUAAGGUAACGGCUUACCAAGGCAACGAUGCGUAGCCGACCUGAGAGGGUGAUCGGCCACACUGGAACUGAGACACGGUCCAGACUCCUACGGGAGGCAGCAGUAGGGAAUCUUCCGCAAUGGGCGAAAGCCUGACGGAGCAACGCCGCGUGAGUGAUGAAGGUCUUCGGAUCGUAAAACUCUGUUAUUAGGGAAGAACAAAUGUGUAAGUAACUAUGCACGUCUUGACGGUACCUAAUCAGAAAGCCACGGCUAACUACGUG